This is a long non-coding RNA of Alligator sinensis (Chinese alligator), 251 nucleotides long. RefSeq lists it as uncharacterized. The transcript is spliced from 3 exons. The record is from RefSeq and is a predicted model, not a curated record. Lineage: Eukaryota; Metazoa; Chordata; Crocodylia; Alligatoridae.
UAAGCUCCAGAAAGGAAUGGGAGUUCUGAUAAUCAUCUCUAAUUAGCAUUUCCAGACCCUGAAUAUGGAGUUCAAAACUUCUAACAUGAGACCCACGUCUGAAGGGCAGAUAAGGAAAUACUACAGGAAGAACAACUGUACUUCCAUGAGGCAAAAUAGUGACUCCGUAAAAAUGAAAAAUUGUAUCUUUUGAAAAAUGUUGGGGGAAGCUAUAUACAGAGAGGUCAUCUGCAUGAAUGACAACCCAGACC